RNAcentral lists this ribosomal RNA (234 nucleotides) under uncultured bacterium. RNAcentral's name for it is "partial 16S ribosomal RNA". It matches the Rfam family "Bacterial small subunit ribosomal RNA", at positions 120 to 353 of the family's 1533-position model. The record is from RNAcentral.
UCCAACCUGCCGAUGACUCGGGGAUAGCCUUUCGAAAGAAAGAUUAAUACCCGAUGGCAUAGUUCUUCCGCAUGGUGGAACUAUUAAAGAAUUUCGGUCAUCGAUGGGGAUGCGUUCCAUUAGGUUGUUGGCGGGGUAACGGCCCACCAAGCCUUCGAUGGAUAGGGGUUCUGAGAGGAAGGUCCCCCACAUUGGAACUGAGACACGGCCCAGACUCCUACGGGAGGCAGCAUG